This is a long non-coding RNA of Ruditapes philippinarum (Manila clam), 605 nucleotides long. RefSeq lists it as uncharacterized. The transcript has 4 exons. The record is from RefSeq and is a predicted model, not a curated record. Lineage: Eukaryota; Metazoa; Mollusca; Bivalvia; Venerida; Veneridae.
GCGAUUUGUGACGGUUAAGGCGGAAGUCUGGAGGGUAACUGUUGCUUGUCUACUUGGAAGAAUUGAUAGGUCGUCUAUUAUAAAAGGAAACACAAACUUCAUAUCAUCACUAUUUCAUUUGAAGUCGUCAAUAUACAAGCAUCAUGAAAAUCUCAGCUCUUGCCUUUUUCGCCCUUGUCGGAGUUAUCGGUGUUGCCCUCGGUGCCGGGUACGGAUACGGCGGUUAUUCUGGCGGGUACACCUACAUGCCAGUAUCUGGUUACGGUCAGCAAGGAGCCGGCGGGUUCGGAGAUGGUUCUUUCUUGAUGCUGAUCGGAUUCUUGUUCCUGAUCUUGAUCUUGUUCAACAGCAACCUGUUCAACACCACCUCAACAGCUACUACCACACCCAUCACCAUCCUCCAGGGUUAAAUAUGAUUUAGUAAAAGACCAGCAGCACUUAAGCCGAACAUCUAUAUUUCCACUACCCUUUCUAUGGAGAUAUUCCAGCUGUGAUGUGAUUGGUCAAUUUAUAAUACUUUCUGUGAUAUCUAAGUUAUUUAUCAUUAAUGUUAUAUUGAUGCGUUUUAUUCCAAAACACUGCAAUAAAAUCUUAAAAGAAAAUAA